This 211-nucleotide non-coding RNA is filed under the name Clostridium sp. Its description in RNAcentral is "T-box sequence". It matches the Rfam family "T-box leader". Rfam says of the family: Uncharged tRNA acts as the effector for transcription antitermination of genes in the T-box leader family. Lineage: Bacteria; Bacillati; Bacillota; Clostridia; Eubacteriales; Clostridiaceae. The record is from RNAcentral.
ACUGAAACUAUGAAGAAGAGAGUAAAUAUAAGUCCACUUCAGGGAGAAGGGGUCAUAGACUGAAAGCCCUUUUAUUGAUAUUUAUAUUGAAGUUCACUUCUGAGUUCUAACUGUGAACUUAUAGUAGCAGUUAGCGGCUAAGCCGUUAUAAUUUUAAGCUGGACAUUAAGUCAAUUAGGGUGGUACCGCGGAUAUAAAGUUCGUCCCUUCA